AAUGAACGUUGGCGGCGUGGAUUAGGCAUGCAAGUCGAGCGAGAAGUCUCCUUCGGGAGACGGAAAGCGGCGAAAGGGAGAGUAACGCGUGGAUUAUCUACCCUCGGAUCCGGGAUAGCCGCGGGAAACUGCGGGUAAUACCGGAUAACGUCUCCGGACCAAAGGUGUGAUUCCGUCCGAGGAUGAGUCCGCGUCCUAUUAGCUUGUUGGUGGGGUAAUGGCCUACCAAGGCAAUGAUGGGUACUGGGUGUGAGAGCACGACCCAGCUCACUGGGACUGAGACACUGCCCAGACACCUACGGGUGGCUGCAGUCGAGAAUCUUCGGCAAUGGGCGCAAGCCUGACCGAGCGACGCCGCGUGCGGGAUGAAGGCCUUCGGGUUGUAAACCGCUGUCAGAGGGGACGAAAUAUCACGGGGUUCUCCCCGUGGUUUGACCGAUCCUCAGAGGAAGUACGGGCUAAGUUCGUGCCAGCAGCCGCAGAGUAAGAC
This 490-nucleotide ribosomal RNA is filed under the name uncultured bacterium. RNAcentral describes it as "bacterial SSU rRNA". It matches the Rfam family "Bacterial small subunit ribosomal RNA", at positions 29 to 526 of the family's 1533-position model. The record is from RNAcentral.